This 926-nucleotide long non-coding RNA is filed under the name Monodelphis domestica (gray short-tailed opossum). Its description in RNAcentral is "lncRNA (ENSMODG00000039969.1)". Lineage: Eukaryota; Metazoa; Chordata; Mammalia; Didelphimorphia; Didelphidae. The record is from RNAcentral.
UGUUAGAAGGAGAGUACUCUAAGUAGGAGGCUCUGAAGAAAGAGUCUCUAAGGAGUCUCUUGGGAGAGGCUCUUGAGGACAGGCAGAAGAAUCCCUCUCUGGAGAAGAAUGGCUGGCUGAACUGGUGUCUAUAUCCUUGCUUAGACAGACCUUGUGAUAUCAGGGACUGCAUUAAAAGCAAAGAGCCUUCUGUUAUAUAUAGAGGGAAAGGAAAGCAAAGCAAAACAAAAACAACACUUCUUUUUACUCAGGGAAAAUAGGUGAAAAAAAGAGUCCUACAUCACUUCUGUUGUGAACCUGGAAGCAACAAUGGAAGGAAUCCACAUUGGCCCAUAGAAGGUAAUCAGCCCUAACAGCUGGUAGAGAAGAAAGUAAAGAAUAACACAUGCUGUUCAACUGAAGUGACAUUAUAGAAGAAAUGUCAGCAAUUCCCUGAUUGGAAUCCAGCCAUGUUUCUGAUAAUGCCACUGGAAUUAUUUAAUUAUUUGUACUUCCAUCUUUAAAAAAAAUGCUUGCACAAUUAUGACCUCCAUUUUAUGAGCAACCCCAAAUAGCACUAUGUUGGUUUAAAGGAUUUAACUUUUUACUUUAGGACUAACACACCAUUAGAGGACUGUUUAUCAAGUAGCCAAUAUCCAAAGAACUAGUUAAAAGUCAAAAUGAACAAUGUAGCCUACAUCGAUACAGAAUCAAUGAUAUUAUUAGAUUAUGAUUAAUGUUCAUAUUUUCUAAAGAAAAUGUCAUGAUAUAUAUAGUAUAAACAUAUAUACACACAUAUACAUGCAGAAAUAUAUAUGAGUAUAUUCUGUAUAAAAUUAUCUUAUACACAUUGAUAUAUAAAGCAAUUAUUAAGCACCUACCAUAUGACUACACUUUAUGAUUUGCUAGAGAUAUAGAUAUAAGUAAAUUAUAAUUAUUCUUAAAGA